This 2992-nucleotide long non-coding RNA is filed under the name Brassica napus (rape). RNAcentral describes it as "long non-coding RNA (BNAP_LNC020761)". Lineage: Eukaryota; Viridiplantae; Streptophyta; Magnoliopsida; Brassicales; Brassicaceae. The record is from RNAcentral.
UUGCUGGGCUUACGUGGCAGUGGACCUUGUCAGUGCCAUGAGGUUAAUAAACGGGCAAGAUGAUACAUUUGUUCCGUUAAGUGUAAGGGAGCUAUGUUUCUAUGCAAGACCUGGAGAGCGGAUCCUGCGUACAGUGCAAAAAAUAGGGCACAGGUGCCAUGAGCUUCGUGUUGAGUUUGCUUUUGACUACAUAAUGAGUACGGGAGUAAGAAGACAAGGAGGGAACGAAGAGACAUUUGACUGCGUAGAAGGUGGUUCUGGUGAAGGAGAGGAUACGGUUCGAAUAGAAGAUUACACCUUUCUUGGCAGGGAUUUCAAGGCUGCUCUAAAGAGACUUCAGUUGCAACCAAUAGGAGCAUCACUACACGUAUUUGAGGAGUACUGGGAUAUCAAAAAGGUAAAUAGAUUUUAAAUAAAUUUUCUAUUUUAUAGAUUUUAUUGACUUGUUCUAAAUUGUUUGUCAUAGCAGGGAGACAUUUAUCGCGGACCCACGAGCAACAGUACCAAGUAUUACGGUCUUCAUGCAGUUGUUGUUGUGGACGCAUUCUUCAUUGACAGUGAACUCAUUUUUUGGUGCAAGUCCAGCAGCGGUAAACAACUCCAUGAUGAAGGUUAUAUCAUGGUGUCUGCAGCCAUAAUGGUCUUGGGUCUCCAUUACGAGAGUGACAACGACGAACCAACAUUUGGCAUUAGAGACCAGCGAAGAAGCAAAACGGCACUUUACGAACCAGCAUAUCUCAUUAGUGAUUUUGUGUAUCCCAGGAUGAAGGCCAAGUCAAAGAAGCAGGCAAAUCCAUCGCUAGGAAGAAACGAUCUCAUAGAUGUUCAUCUGUCCAAUGAGGAUUUCAAAGAUGUCCAUCCUGCUGUUGAGGUACACUCACACUAAUUUCCUCUCCUUCUGUUCUCUGAGUUUGUUUCUGCAAAAAAAUAUGGUGAAUGUAUCUACUCUUAUGUGUUCGUUGUCUGAUUUGUCCUGUCUUCAUCAUUGGUUACAGACAAACGAUUCGGUGUGUCCUUCCCCACCACGUGAUAGAUUUGCAACUUACAGUGUAGGAGCCGUGAAGAGAAAUGGUGGGUGCAUAUUUUUUGCACAAGGACACUGUCCUUUCGGGAUUGACUGCUGGUUUUCUCACCUGGGUGGUGAAAGAAGUUGCAUUGGUGAAGCUAGUACCUCAAGGUUGGGUCGAUGUUUCUCAAACGAGUUGGGCUUACCGGGGAUUUCACCACCUCUUGGGAAUGAACAUGAACCUCCUUGGAAUAACCAUGAAAGAGCUGACGCUCCUUCCUGAUUUGGUGAAUGGACUUGCUCACGUUACUCUCUCUAUCUGUUUUCUGAUUGUCUUAUUGGUCCCUCUGCAGGCAAAUCCAUCGCUCGGAAGAAACAAUCUCAUAGAUGUUCAACUCUCUAAUCAGGAUCUCAAAGAUGUUCAUCUUGCUGUUGAGGUACACUCUCACUAAUUUUUUCUCCUUCCUCUGUUCCCUGAGGUCUAAUUUGUCCUGUCUUCAUCAUUGUUAGUGUUUAGAUGUUUAUUAAGUCCAUAAUAGUUGUAGAAUCUCACACACAAGGACACUUCUUCUCUUUCACUCUUUAUUUCUUUCUCUGCGUUUUUUUUUGUUCAUUGGUACCUCUUUCUUCAAAAAUGGUGAAUGGACUUGCUCAGGUUACUCUCUCUAUCCGUUUUCUGAUUGGUCCCUCUGCAGGUAAAUCCAUCGCUAGGAAUAAAAAAUCUCAUAGAUGUUCAUCUCUCUAAUCAGGAUCCCAAAGAUGUUCAUCCUGCUGUUGAGGUACACUCACACUAAUGUCUUCUCCUUAUUCUGUUCUCUGACUUUGUUUCUGCCAAAAAAUAUGUUGAAUGUAUCUGCUCUAUGUGUUCGUGGGCUGAUUUGUCAUGUUUUCAUCGUUGGUCACAGACAAACGAUUCCGUGUGUCCUUCCCCACUACGUGACAGACUUGCAGCUGACAGUGUAGGAGCCGUGAAGAGAAAUGGUGGGUGCAUAUUUUUUGCACAAGGACACUGUCCUUUCGGGAUUGACUGCUGGUUUUCUCACCUGGGUAGUGAAAGAAGUUGCAUCGGUGAAGCUAGUACCUCAAGGUCGGGUUACUGGUUCUCAAACGAGUUGGGUUUACCUGGGAUUUCACCACCUACUGGGAAUGACGAUGAACCUCCAGGGAAUGACGAUGAACCUCCUGGGAAUAACUCUGAAAGAGCUGCAGUUAUAAGAAACAUAGUAUGCGAACUUGAGAACCAGUCGCUCCUUCCUGAUCUUGUGAGGGAACUUUUUGGCUCCGCUGUGUACAGGAGCUGCUGCAAAGAAGGAACGCCUCGGGGUAUAUCCUGCUGGUUUCAACCAGAAGUACAAAGCCUUCCGAUUUUCAAUAACCAAUUUUUAAGUUGGCGUUCUCCAAAAAGGGUAUGUUAAUUUUAUUAACUGUCUUAGUUUUCAGUUUAAUAUUUUUUUUAAUUCUCUCACUCUUGUUUCAGUCUAACUCCCCUUGGGAAGAUGGAGUUACAAGGGUUGAUAGAAGAUGGGUUCAACUUACUGUAGAAGAGAAGAAUAUUGUUGGACCUAUUCGUUCUAAACAAGAAGAGGACAUAGUAGGACUUGUCCGAGACCAGAAGGUUCACUGUAAGUCUUUAAUUUUUUCAACCUGUGUGUUUAGAAGGCAUAGUCUCUUAGAGGCGCUAGCUUGGUGCGUCUUACAGUUUUCUUUACAAAACAUGGAGCGCCCUUGUUAAUUCAAAGUUUUGGGUUUUGUUUUUACAGUGCUUUGCUGGGCUUACGUGGCAGUGGACCUUGUCAGUGCCAUGAGGUUAAUAAACGGGCAAGAUGAUACAUUUGUUCCGUUAAGUGUAAGGGAGCUAUGUUUCUAUGCAAGACCUGGAGAGCGGUUCCUGCGUACAGUGCAAAAAAUAGGGCACAGGUGCCAUGAGCUUCGUGUUGAGUUUGCUUUUGACUACAUAAUGAGUACGGGAGUAAGAAGACAAGGAGG